GGGUCAGUAGGUUGGUCGUGCCACCGGUACGUACUGGUCUCACUGACUCCUCCUUCCUGAAGAACCGUAAUGCCAUUAAUUUGGUGUUGCGGGGAAACAGGACUGUUACUUUGAAAAAAUUAGAGUGUUUAAAGCAAGCUAACGCUUGAAUACAUUAGCAUGGAAUAAUGAAAUAGGACGAUCGAUCCUAUUUUGUUGGUUUCUAGGAUUGACGUAAUGGUUAAUAGGGGUAGUUGGG
Molecule: ribosomal RNA, 238 nt
Filed under: Glomeromycotina sp.
Lineage: Eukaryota; Fungi; Glomeromycota
Description: partial small subunit ribosomal RNA
Rfam family: Eukaryotic small subunit ribosomal RNA (bases 40-238)
Source: RNAcentral